RNAcentral lists this ribosomal RNA (259 nucleotides) under uncultured bacterium. RNAcentral's name for it is "partial 16S ribosomal RNA". It matches the Rfam family "Bacterial small subunit ribosomal RNA", at positions 524 to 777 of the family's 1533-position model. The record is from RNAcentral.
CACGUAGGGGGCGAGCGUUGUCCGGAUUUAUUGGGCGUAAAGAGCUCGUAGGCGGCUCGGUAAGUCGGGUGUGAAACCUCCAGGCUCAACCUGGAGACGCCACCUGAUACUGCUGUGGCUAGAGUCCGGUAGGGGAGUGUGGAACUCCUGGUGUAGCGGUGAAAUGCGCAGAUAAUCAGGAAGAACACCAGCGGCGAAGGGCGGCACUCUGGGCCGGAAACUGACGCUGAGGGAGCGAAAGCGUGGGUAGCAAACAGGA